Molecule: long non-coding RNA, 2235 nt
Filed under: Homo sapiens (human)
Lineage: Eukaryota; Metazoa; Chordata; Mammalia; Primates; Hominidae
Description: HSALNT0237074
Source: RNAcentral
GGUAGCCAUGUAAGGAUUGCCUUGUCUACUAGAAGAUAUUAAGAUGAUAAUGACAAUGCCAAGAUAAUCUGAGAAGAGAAUGAUUACAAUCAGCAAAGGGCUCAGAAAGGAAGCAUUUCCUAGGGAAGGGAGAGAGCAAGUGAGGCAGAUCAGAAUCGAACCAGUCGAGGGGGGCAGUUGAUGGACGAGAUGAAUUUGGGAUAUCUUUCAGAGGAAGGCACUUCAAAUUCUUGUUAUUUAUUUCACUAUGGUGCUCUCUGUGAUUGGAACAGCUUGAUAUAGUUUGGCUCUGUGUCCUCACCCAAAUUUCAUCUUGAAUUGUACUCCCAUAAUUCCCACGUGUUGUGGGAGGGACCCGGUGGGAGAGAAUUGGAUCACGGGGGCAGGUUUCCCCCAUACUGUUCUCGUGGUGGUGAAUAAGUCUCACGAGAUCUGACGCUUUUAUCAGGGGUUUCCGCUUUUGCGUCUUCUUUCUCUCUUCGCCUGCUGCCGUCCAUGUAAGAUGGGACUUGCUCCUCCUUGCCUUCCACCAUGAUUGUGAGGCUUCCUCAGCCACGUGGAACUAUGCCCUGACCUUCCGGGAAACCCUCGGUGAGAGGCCCACAGCCUCGCUUCUAGGGUCACCACUGCUUCUUCCAGUCUAGCCAAACAGCUCCUAGUACAGCUCAGAGCACCCUGCAAGGAGGGCACGUGUUAAAUCGAGGAGCACACAUGCUCCACGAGGAAUUCUUUGCUUUGAGGCCAUGCACAGAGGUGGGUUCACUAUGAAGCUUGUGAAAUAAGCUUCAGGGCCCGCAUUUGCAUGGGCCACAGAGAGUCUGGGAGCUGCAGAAGGUUCAAGGGAAGAGGAGCCAUCACAAGCAGAAUAUUCUAGAAGGCAUUUCUGGCAAAUGGCCCAAAGAGGCCUCAGGAGAAAAGAACUUGAGUCUUCAAGGAUGCAAUGAGAAGGCACCAUCUGUGAGGAACAGGCCUCCGACAGACACCGAAUUUGCUGGCACUUUGAUCUUGGACUUCCCAGCCUCCAAAAUUAUCCAUAAUGGAUUCCUGGGACAUUUUCAGAUCUCCUUCCAGCUUCCUCUUCGCCCUUUCCAAGUCCGCCCGCAGUUUCUUCUCCUGCUCUAAGGAACCCUCAAGCUGAGAAGACACACAGAGACAAGGGCUUGCUCUGUUGCCCAAGCUAAAGUGCAGUGGUGUGAGUGUAGCCCACUGCAUCCUCACACUCCUGUGCUCAAGUGAUCCUCCCACCUCAGCCUCCCAAGUAGCUGGAACUACAAGAUGGAGUCUCGCUGCGAUGCCCAGGCUGGAGUGCAAUGGUGCAAUCUUGGCUCACUGCAACCUUCGUUUCCCAGGUUUAAGCAAUUCUCCUGCCUCAGCCUCCCAAGUAUCUGGGACUACAGGCGAGCGUCACCAUGCCUGGCUAAUUUUUGUAUUUUUAGUAGAGAUGUUUAGUAGAGAGUUUCACCAUAUUGGCCAGGCUGGUCUUGAACUCCUGACCUCAAGGGAUCCGCCCACCUUGGCCUCUCAAAGUGCUGGGAUUACAGGCGUGAGCCACCGUGCCUGGCAAUGUUUGUAGUUUCUUUCAUGAAUUUACCUCCUUUUAUUCUUUAAUCCCUGCUUAUCUCUAAAGAGUAAGUAACUGAAAGUAAUAAAACGGAAUUUUCUCAACAAUAUUUUAUAAGUUGAUUUCUUUUUCUUUCCUACAGGAAACAACCCAAUUUGCCAUCUUAAUUUGGAGUCUACUUUUUCUGAAUGACUCAGUUUUCUCUGAUACUUAAUCAAGAUGCAGCCUUGGGGGAAAAUGUCAUGUCCCAGUCUCCCCCAUGUUCCUUUCCCUUCAUCCCACUUUGUCCCCGGGGUCUAGCAUGACUGUGUGUUUGGAUUGGGGAAGUGAAGGCAGGAAAGUCGCUUCCCCAAAUCCGCAUCCACACAGGGUCUUAUGUUAGAGUUGAUGUUAUCUCUAGGCGAGGUUAUGCAAUGUAGUUACAGAGACAUUGUGAUUAGAUUCAAAGAAAAUGAUUUUCAUCAUUGAAGUUUACGCAUGUGCCCAUUUCCUAUUUAUUACAUUCCCUGGCCCAGAGGACAUUAGGCUUUCAUUUUUAAAAAAUGAUCUCAUUAUCUAAUGAAUAAUUAUAUUUCAUAUAUUUUAUUAAUUUAUUAAAUGUAUGCAUUUAAAAUGGCAUAUAAUGUUAAAACUCUAUGUUGGCUACUAUUUAAAAGUAUAUUUACUGGUAAUCU